UACGUAGGGUGCAAGCGUUGUCCGGAAUUAUUGGGCGUAAAGAGCUCGUAGGCGGUCUGUCGCGUCGGCUGUGAAAUCCCGAGGCUCAACCUCGGGUCUGCAGUCGAUACGGGCAGACUAGAGUGCGGUAGGGGAGACUGGAAUUCCUGGUGUAGCGGUGAAAUGCGCAGAUAUCAGGAGGAACACCGGUGGCGAAGGCGGGUCUCUGGGCCGUAACUGACGCUGAGGAGCGAAAGCGUGGGGAGCGAACAGG
This 253-nucleotide ribosomal RNA is filed under the name uncultured bacterium. RNAcentral's name for it is "partial 16S ribosomal RNA". It matches the Rfam family "Bacterial small subunit ribosomal RNA", at positions 524 to 776 of the family's 1533-position model. The record is from RNAcentral.